This 827-nucleotide ribosomal RNA is filed under the name uncultured bacterium. Its description in RNAcentral is "bacterial SSU rRNA". It matches the Rfam family "Bacterial small subunit ribosomal RNA", at positions 1 to 872 of the family's 1533-position model. The record is from RNAcentral.
UUCGCCCUUAGAGUUUGAUCCUGGCUCAGAACGAACGCUGGCGGCAGGCUUAACACAUGCAAGUCGAACGCCCCUUUCGGGGGGAGUGGCAGACGGGUGAGUAACACGUGGGAACGUACCUCUUUGUUCGGAAUAACUCAUGGAAACGUGAGCUAAUACCGGAUACGCCCUUUUGGGGAAAGAUUUAUCGCAGAGAGAUCGGCCCGCGUCUGAUUAGCUAGUUGGUGAGGUAAUGGCUCACCAAGGCGACGAUCAGUAGCUGGUCUGAGAGGAUGAUCAGCCACACUGGGACUGAGACACGGCCCAGACUCCUACGGGAGGCAGCAGUGGGGAAUAUUGGACAAUGGGGGCAACCCUGAUCCAGCCAUGCCGCGUGAGUGAUGAAGGCCUUAGGGUUGUAAAGCUCUUUUAUCCGGGAAGAUAAUGACUGUACCGGAAGAAUAAGCCCCGGCUAACUUCGUGCCAGCAGCCGCGGUAAUACGAAGGGGGCUAGCGUUGUUCGGAAUCACUGGGCGUAAAGGGCGCGUAGGCGGACGAUUAAGUCAGGGGUGAAAUCCCGGGGCUCAACCUCGGAAUUGCCCUUGAUACUGGUUGUCUUGAGAUUGGAAGAGGUAAGUGGAAUUGCGAGUGUAGAGGUGAAAUUCGUAGAUAUUCGCAAGAACACCGGUGGCGAAGGCGACUUACUGGUCCAUAUCUGACGCUGAGGCGCGAAAGCGUGGGGAGCAAUACAGGAUUAGAUACCCUGGUAGUCCACGCCGUAAACGAUGGAUGCCAGCUGUUGGGGAGCAUGCUCUUCAGUGGCGCAAUCAACACAUUAAGCAUCCCGC